Long non-coding RNA from Malus domestica (apple), 1079 nucleotides. RefSeq lists it as uncharacterized. Lineage: Eukaryota; Viridiplantae; Streptophyta; Magnoliopsida; Rosales; Rosaceae. The record is from RefSeq and is a predicted model, not a curated record.
CAAUCACUUCUCUCCCUCUUAUCUCUCAUUUCUGUCACCAAACUCUCUCUCUCUCUCUCUCUCUCUCGUACUCUCCCUCUCCCUUAACUCCUUCACAAUCUCUCUCUUCUCUGUAAAUCAGAAAACCUUUCCUCUCUAAGAUGGUGCGCUGCACAAAAGGUACAGUAGCACGGGCCAUCACCAGCUGCCAUGGAAUCAGGCGAGUUCACCCCUGCAACCAUGGAACCUACACCAACAGUGGGCGUACCACUAUUCAUCUUCGUUUCCAACCAUGGAAACACACGGGGAAGAACUUCCCCUGAUUUCUGGAAAAUUUGACCCGUGACCAUUUGGUCACUUUCAGCUCGUUUUUCCGGCCAACCUUGACCACAACUGGACUCCUAAUAGGUAUAGACUUGUUAUCUUAUUCCUAAGUUCAAAAUGGCUUUUGAAUCACUGAGUUUGGCUAAGUAUCGAGUUAGAAACCAACUUUGAAAGUUGGGAAGGAAUUCCUAGAAUUCUGGAAAUCUUGGACCGUGGCCAUUUGGCCACUUUCAGGCCAUUUUUCCAGGAAGCUUCAUCCAUGACACAACACCAAAUGGAUAUAUAUCUAUUCCCUGCAUUCCUAACUUCAUUUUGGUUUUUGAAUCACAAAUUUUGGUUGAGAAAUGAGCUCGUUUGGAGCUCUAAAAGUAAGGCCUGCAACCUGCAAAAAUCACAGGUUUCGUGAAGAAAGCGCGUGGGCGCACGUGAGGGAGCCACGUGAGUGGUGUGUGCCACGCGUGGCUACCAGUGUAGCCACCUUGCGGCGGCGCGUGGUGGUGUGAGUGGACUAAAAAUUAUUCUGAAAAUUUGUUUAGGUCCGUGACAUCAAGUAGAUCUAUUUCCUAUAUUUAAAACCUACAUUUGAGUAAUCUACGGAGGUUUUAUUUAAGUUUCCAUUUAUGUGUUAUUAAACUAAGUUAAUUAGUAAUUUCACGUAUAAAGGAAUGUAUUCCGGGGACGUACGGAGUUAAACCAGGCUAGAAGGCUUCAUUUCGACUGCGUAUCUGUGAGUGGGUAAUUUAUUUUAUACUUGUAUAUAUUUAUAGUUUCCAUAA